UAGCCGUAAACGAUACUCGCUAGGUGUCGGCCACGGUGCGACCGUUGUCGGUGCCGUAGGGAAGCCGUGAAGCGAGCCACCUGGGAAGUACGGCCGCAAGGCUGAAACUUAAAGGAAUUGGCGGGGAGCACCACAACGGGUGGAGCCUGCGGUUUAAUUGGACUCAACGCCGGGAAGCUCACCGGAUAAGACAGCGGAAUGAUUGCCGGGCUGAAGACCCUGCAUGACCAGCUGAGAGGAGGUGCAUGGCGUCAGUGACU
Molecule: ribosomal RNA, 260 nt
Filed under: uncultured archaeon
Lineage: Archaea
Description: partial 16S ribosomal RNA
Rfam family: Archaeal small subunit ribosomal RNA
Source: RNAcentral